UUGAACGCUGGCGGCAUGCCUUACACAUGCAAGUCGAACGGCAGCACGGGUGCUUGCACCUGGUGGCGAGUGGCGAACGGGGGAGUAAUACAUCGGAACAUGUCCUGUAGUGGGGGAUAGCCCGGCGAAAGCCGGAUUAAUACCGCAUACGAUCCACGGUUGAAAGCGGGAGACCUUCGGGCCUCGCGCUAUAGGGUUGGCCCAUGGCUGAUUAGCUAGUUGGUGGGGUAAAGGCCUACCAAGGCGACGAUCAGUAGCAGGCCUGAGAGGAUGACCAGCCACACUGGAACUGAGAAACGGCCCAGACUACUGAGGGCGGCAGCAGUAGGGAAUCUUGCGCAAUGGGCGAAAGCCUGAUGGAGCAACGCCGCGUGAGUGAUGAAGGUCUUCGGAUCGUAAAACUCUGUUAUUAGGGAAGAACAAAUGUGUAAGUAACUAUGCACGUCUUGACGGUACCUAAACAGAAAGCCACGGCUAACUACGUG
This 485-nucleotide ribosomal RNA is filed under the name uncultured bacterium. Its description in RNAcentral is "partial 16S ribosomal RNA". It matches the Rfam family "Bacterial small subunit ribosomal RNA", at positions 30 to 507 of the family's 1533-position model. The record is from RNAcentral.